GAGGGUAUAGCUCAAGUGGUAGAGCGCAUGCUUAGCAUGCACAGGGUCCUGGGUUCAAUCCCCAGUACAUCCU
Molecule: transfer RNA, 73 nt
Filed under: Camelus bactrianus (Bactrian camel)
Lineage: Eukaryota; Metazoa; Chordata; Mammalia; Artiodactyla; Camelidae
Also listed under: 2 other names
Rfam family: tRNA
About the family: Transfer RNA (tRNA) molecules are approximately 80 nucleotides in length. Their secondary structure includes four short double-helical elements and three loops (D, anti-codon, and T loops).
Source: Rfam by way of RNAcentral